This 198-nucleotide ribosomal RNA is filed under the name Triticum aestivum (bread wheat). RNAcentral describes it as "partial small subunit ribosomal RNA". Lineage: Eukaryota; Viridiplantae; Streptophyta; Magnoliopsida; Poales; Poaceae. The record is from RNAcentral.
AUGACGUGCAGUUUCGUCUUCCUCCUGAGGGUGUCGUCGUGGAGCCCAGAUUUCCUCCAGUGCAUCGAGUCUCCUCGACUCUGGCAUGGGUGGUUGCACUUGCCUCCGCAUCUUCUACACGGGUCCUCGUUGGCGCCACCCACGGUCCUCGCUAUUCGCUUGCAGGUUCGGGCUCCACAAUCCGGAGCGAGAGGGUAG